This is a long non-coding RNA of Caretta caretta (loggerhead turtle), 2399 nucleotides long. RefSeq lists it as uncharacterized. Lineage: Eukaryota; Metazoa; Chordata; Testudines; Cheloniidae. The record is from RefSeq and is a predicted model, not a curated record.
UUCUGUAUGAUUAAAAUGACUGGCAAGUGUGGGUUGGCAUUGUAGGUCAGUCAGCAUCUGGCUGCUGAAUACAUUUUUCAGAGCUGUGUGCUGCUCUCUCCCACCCCCAAUCAUCUUUGAUUUUCAGAUAUUGUAAUGUGGUCUACUUCAAGAUACCCUUGAAGACCACCUGGAGGCUUCAGCUGGUGCAGAAAGCAACUUCUUAUCACAUGAGUGGGGCCAGGACAUAGCGGAGUACAUAGUGCUGAGAUUUCAGGAUAAUUGAGAUCGGCUGGAAUGCUGUGGUAAAGCUAUCCAGGUUUGACAGCAGCGCUUUCAUGUCAAGCAUCUCUGCCUUUGUAAUUUUCUCCUCUUGGUGGUCUGCCAGAGUCCAAGUUGGGCAAGCUUCAGGCCCUGAUCAAAGUGACCACAAAUAGUAACAAACGACAUGUGAAAACAUUCCAAGAAAACUCAGCUCCUCAGGCACAAUGGAACUUUCUACCAUAUAGGUAAAGCUUGUCUGUGUCGAAUGCAGAACUUUCUUGGAGGCUGUUCUCGGACUGGAACGAACUCGUCUAGGAGCUAAGGACCAUCACAAACCCUCACUUUUUAUGCCAACCGCAAGGCGCACUUCUUCAACCUGUUUUCUCUAACAUAAACACAGAGCAGCAAGGACAUUUAAAAACGAGCCCCAACCCAAAAUGCUUCACCACACACACACACGUCUCCCUCUGGGGAGAAGAUAGGAGAGACUGUUCCACACAUGAUAGACAUGUGUUAGUCACGUCACUUAAUGUGCUGCUGGAAAGUCCUUAGAUGCUACAGUGAUCAUGGCAAUGUAAGAACCUACGUAGAAUAGAAUAAGUUUGUGUUAGUAUAUAUAGCUAAAGAUAACAUUUGUUUACAGCAUAAGACUUUAAGUUGUCCCUUUUAUUAAAAUCCUUACUAAGAAGUAGAACAAAGUAGUAUUUUCUGAAGUCCAUUGUUUUUUGCCACGUACUACCUUGCAAGAUUAUUUUACUGAACCAUGAGCUCUCAGGACCUAAUCCUCUGCCCAUUUAUAGUUGGUGGAAAAACACCCAUUGACAUUAUGGGCUUUCGAUCAGUCCCAGACAACACUGAUACUGACUGAAGGAGAGUGCAUUUUAUCUCUUCCCCUCUGAGUCCAAAACACCCAUGUGUUGCCAUAAAAUCUGUUUGUGUAGAUCCUUCUGUAGAAGGGGAAUAAGCAGAUGUUUUCAAAUGUAUGUAUGCAUGCUGUUAAGGAUUGUCAUUACUGCAUUUCCACUAGAAAUUUUCUUUCCAGAUGUCAGUACCUUUAUUUGAAGGGGGAGGAGAGAGACUGAAGCCAGCUUAUACUUGAAGAGGGGCUUGGAGUUGAAUCUUGAACACACUUGAAUUUGUUUAUUUUCAAAAAGUUUUCUGCUGAAAAACUUGUUUUCAGAAGAUCCUACUUAUAAUAUCCAUUCUAUUUGACUGUUGUGUCAUGGGCCUAGCAAUAGUGAACUUUGUGAUUACUUUCAUUAAAAAAAAAAAAUUAGUGUUUGUGAAUUUACUGGUUUAUAGUUCAGAGCUUUUGCCAGGCUGCAUUUAGUAUGUCCACUUUUUAAUCCUUGAAAUUCUGUGAAGUGUAUGCUGGCAUUCAUGCAAAAGUUGAAAUGGUCACUUUUUCCAUUUAAAGUGUUAAUGGACUUUAUGCAUGUCUCGAACACUGAAAGUAAAGGUGUUAAAGGUAAACUUCUGCUAAAAUGAAAUAAUUAAACCUUGUCUUUAUUCCAAAUAUCAGUUAAUAAAGAAACUUUCAUGGUUCUUUGUUUACCUGUGUAAAAUUGGUAGAAUGGAAUAUCUUGGAAAUGCCUGAUCAAGACAAUCAAUGCUAUCAAUUUCUAAUUAGAUACAGUUGCUAUCAAUGUCCACGUUUUAGGAAAAGGAUUUUAUAUUUUUGUGUAUUUAAACAAGAGUAUGUGGAACUAAUGCAAAUGUUUCUUUGGCACACUUACAAAAGAUAUUUAUUUUCUUAAUAACUUGACAUCUGCAUAGGAGAGGAGAGACCCUUAGCUAAGGUGUCUGAGGAUAUAGGCACUUCUUCCUCUAAUGGGAUGCCACUCCCCAAAAUAUUACAGUCUAGUAUGCUGUCAGAGACCACACUGCUCUGCCCAGUGCAACAGCUAUGUAAGUUCUUUAGUAGAAUCUGCUUUUAAGUCUUAACGUCAUCUUUCAGGAUCUAACUGUAGAGAUCCUAUGAAGUAUGUUUUUAAAUGCCUUUUUAUAUCUGUUUACUUUCUCUUCUGUAAAUUGCCAAUAAACACUUAAAUUGGUUUUUCACUAUUAAAUCUGACAAGUUACUGCCUGGCACUUUUGAAAGGAAUGAAGUGCUUCCCUUGCUAGAGGAGACAGGUAAAAAAGUGAGUGCAUGUGGA